AGGGAGAUUGCACAGAAAAAUCUAGCAAAACUUCAGGCUUUAGUAAAGCUCCUCUGUGGCGUGAUUGCAACCAUUCAAACUAGGAUGAAUAUGUAUCUCCACGUAAUUGAAAGCUGGUUUAGCUACAGAUUAAUAAACAGACAUUUGUUCUGAGGAACUCUGAUAAGAGCUGUGGGCUGACUGCUCAAAGACCUCGCAGCAACUGGAG
RNAcentral lists this long non-coding RNA (208 nucleotides) under Calidris pugnax (ruff). RNAcentral describes it as "lncRNA (ENSCPUG00000002829.1)". The record is from RNAcentral. Lineage: Eukaryota; Metazoa; Chordata; Aves; Charadriiformes; Scolopacidae.